Molecule: long non-coding RNA, 1923 nt
Organism: Canis lupus familiaris (dog)
Lineage: Eukaryota; Metazoa; Chordata; Mammalia; Carnivora; Canidae
Exons: 4
Source: RefSeq, a predicted model, not a curated record
CCCAAAUUAGUCAUAUGGAUAUGGAGUUUUGCCAACCUUUAGAAUAUUAAAUAGGUGACAAUAAAAUCUAAAUAUUUUUUUCUUUUUUCCUUGAUUGGUAAAACUGACUUGACUCCUACUCAUUUCUUUUAGUUUUUGUUUCUGGAAACUUCUUGCUGCUCACUUGAAGGCUCUUCAUCUCACUCAGGGACCCCUUGCAAAGUCCUGUGACAAAUGUUUUGUUUGGCUGCCUUGGGAGCCCCACCCAGUCCCCUUCUUUGUCACCCCUCACUGCAAGAGAUUGCAUGUGGUCACUUACAGAGAAGAGGAAUAAAUCAAAAUCAGAGCAUUGUUUUAUUGCAAAAAUCAUGCUGAAGUUUUCAAGUAAGAGAAGUCACAAUCCUCUGUGAGGUUUAACCAGGUCUCCCAAGACUUGUCUUGAUGAUCAAGCACAGUUUACAAGAAUCACAGAAAUCAGAAGCUUGAAAGUCCAGGGCUGGGGUCGUGUCCCAGCAGGAGUCUAUCCUAAGGCAUCCAGCCACAGAAGUCUGCAGGUAGUGGCAGCAAAGCAAGGAACCCCUCAGAGUGCAAUGAAAUUCACAGGAGCAAACAGACUUGAGAGGCCGAAAGUGAAUAAGGUAUGAGGAAGACUGGACCUGAGGGAAGGUGACAGUGACAAGAUAAACACAUGACCCUUCCUUCUAGCUUUUGGGCAAAUACAGUGUCACACUUCAUAGUUGAUAUUUUUCUCUAGAACUUCAGCAAAAUGUAUAGCUUGAAUAGAAAAAGAUAUUUUUUUUCCCCAGUAAGAUAUUCUAAGGCCAAAAUGUUGCACUGAUAUCUUAACAGGGAGGUAAUUUCGGCUUCUGCCCUUCCCUUCCUCAAAAUGGUGUGAAAUAAGAGGGCUGAUGUUAAAACGAGUGAGGAAGGAUGCAAGCAUUCCAUCUAAUAGUAUUUCUAGAGUCUGUUUUAGGGGAAGAAGAUGCAAAGCUCAUUCCUAAGCUCUGUCCCUUAAAGAUCUCACAGUGUGCUGCAAGGUGGACACCUUGUGGGGCUGGCCCUGGGCCCCGUCGCCACUGUCCAGCAUAGGCCAGACAUGGCAAAGGGGCUCAGGAUAUGUCUCCUAAAGACAGAGACAUUGUGACAAGGGAGGGCUGCAUGUGACCUGGGGUUCUGGGAAAUCAGAAACUCUCUAGGGCUUUCAUUAAUGCAGACAGCUGACUACUGUGUGCUGUCCCUUAGGAGUACUUAGAAAAAUGCCACCAACUUCGAUAGUGCCCAAAAGGGCCUCUGGUGUUUCAGUUCACAAAACACCAGGAGAGGGAUGGUAAAGUGGGAGAUGAAGGGAAUUGUGGCUGACAUCAUCAUUGAGCUUCUAAGCAGAUUUCCUUAUAAUAUUGUCACAUACUGGACAUUGAGGAACACAUCAAAGUUCCUCCUCAUCUACUAGACAACGGGCAAUUGCAGCUGCAGCAGCAUCAGGAGCCACCUCAGGGCCAAGCACUGACUCACGUAGUUUGAGCCAAGUCACAAUGCAGGGGGAGCCGUGGUUCUGUUCCUUAAGGCCCUUAGGGAGUACUGGGAAAGACAAUGAACCAUGCAACCUUGUGAGGCAUGAGCAGUACUGUGAUGACGUUAGGAAGAGAAAUAUAUCCUCUUUGGGCUCCCCCAGGAAAUAAAUGUCUGUCCGGGACAAAAAUCCCCGUGGAUUUUGUUCGUAUGUCUAGUAGAGCAUCUACCAUGUGUGAGGAUCAACGCCUGUGAGAUGGUGCGCUCCGGAAGAGCAGGGCCCAUGUCCUAUGUGUUUUUAUAUCCCCUGCUCCUAGCAUUUUCUGGAACAUCACGGGGUCUCCACACUGUGCUUGCUUAAUGAAUAAAUGACAAUCUUGUAAGUGCUGAUAAUAGGAAGCCCUGCAAACCCGGAGAACUCAGAAACUCUUUCAU